Molecule: ribosomal RNA, 491 nt
Filed under: uncultured bacterium
Lineage: Bacteria
Description: bacterial SSU rRNA
Rfam family: Bacterial small subunit ribosomal RNA
Source: RNAcentral
GAUCAUGGCUCAGGAUGAACGCUGGCGGCGUGCCUAACACAUGCAAGUCGAACGGAGUGUUGAGAGCUUGCUUUGACACUUAGUGGCGGACGGGUGAGUAAUGCGUGAGCAACCUGCCUUUCAGAGGGGGACAACAGUUGGAAACGACUGCUAAUACCGCAUAACGUAUUUGGGUGGCAUCACCUGGAUACCAAAGGAGCAAUCCGCUGAAAGAUGGGCUCACGUCUGAUUAGCUAGUUGGUGGGGUAACGGCUCACCAAGGCUGCGAUCAGUAGCCGGACUGAGAGGUUGAACGGCCACAUUGGGACUGAGAUACGGCCCAGACUCCUACGGGAGGCAGCAGUGGGGAAUAUUGGGCAAUGGGCGAAAGCCUGACCCAAGCAACGCCGCGUGAAGGAAGAAGGUCUUCGGAUUGUAACUUCUUUAUGAGGGACGAAGGACGUGACGGUACCUCAUGAAUAAGCCACGGCUAACUACGUGCCAGCAGCAGC